GAACGCUGGCGGCGUGCCUAAUACAUGCAAGUAGAACGCUGAAGCUUGGUGCUUGCACCGAGCGGAUGAGUUGCGAACGGGUGAGUAACGCGUAGGUAACCUGCCUGGUAGCGGGGGAUAACUAUUGGAAACGAUAGCUAAUACCGCAUAAAAUGGAUUAUCGCAUGAUAAUUCAUUGAAAGGUGCAAAUGCAUCACUACCAGAUGGACCUGCGUUGUAUUAGCUAGUUGGUGGGGUAACGGCUCACCAAGGCGACGAUACAUAGCCGACCUGAGAGGGUGAUCGGCCACACUGGGACUGAGACACGGCCCAGACUCCUACGGGAGGCAGCAGUAGGGAAUCUUCGGCAAUGGACGGAAGUCUGACCGAGCAACGCCGCGUGAGUGAAGAAGGUUUUCGGAUCGUAAAGCUCUGUUGUAAGAGAAGAACGAGUGUGAGAGUGGAAAGUUCACACUG
RNAcentral lists this ribosomal RNA (456 nucleotides) under Streptococcus sp. oral taxon 070. RNAcentral's name for it is "bacterial SSU rRNA". It matches the Rfam family "Bacterial small subunit ribosomal RNA", at positions 31 to 471 of the family's 1533-position model. The record is from RNAcentral. Lineage: Bacteria; Bacillati; Bacillota; Bacilli; Lactobacillales; Streptococcaceae.